This is a microRNA precursor of Oryza rufipogon (brownbeard rice), 201 nucleotides long. It matches the Rfam family "MIR812 microRNA precursor family". NCBI's taxonomy places the organism in Eukaryota, Viridiplantae, Streptophyta, Magnoliopsida, Poales, Poaceae. The record is from Rfam.
UAUAAGGGAUUCUGAGAUUUUACUUGCAACGUUUGACCACUCGUCUUAUUCAAAUUUUUUUGAAAUUAUUAUUUAUUUUAUUUGUGACUUACUUUAUUAUGUAUAGUACUUUAAGCACAACUUUUCAUUUUUUAUAUUUAAUUUUUUUUAAUAAGACGAGUGGUCAAACGUUGCAAGCAAAAACUCAAAAUCAUGCAUAUA